Molecule: ribosomal RNA, 434 nt
Filed under: uncultured Lachnospiraceae bacterium
Lineage: Bacteria; Bacillati; Bacillota; Clostridia; Lachnospirales; Lachnospiraceae
Description: partial 16S ribosomal RNA
Rfam family: Bacterial small subunit ribosomal RNA
Source: RNAcentral
ACGGAAGGCAGCAGUGGGGAAUAUUGCACAAUGGGGGAAACCCUGAUGCAGCGACGCCGCGUGAGCGAAGAAGUAUUUCGGUAUGUAAAGCUCUAUCAGCAGGGAAGAAAAUGACGGUACCUGACUAAGAAGCUCCGGCUAAAUACGUGCCAGCAGCCGCGGUAAUACGUAUGGAGCAAGCGUUAUCCGGAUUUACUGGGUGUAAAGGGAGCGUAGACGGGACAGCAAGUCUGAUGUGAAAGGCAGGGGCUUAACCCCUGGACUGCAUUGGAAACUGCAGACCUUGAGUGCCGGAGAGGUAAGCGGAAUUCCUAGUGUAGCGGUGAAAUGCGUAGAUAUUAGGAGGAACACCAGUGGCGAAGGCGGCUUACUGGACGGUAACUGACGUUGAGGCUCGAAAGCGUGGGGAGCAAACAGGAUUAGAUACCCUGGUA